CGGGGCAGGAACUGGCAUGUUACCAAGUAUUAAUUAUGGUCCUGGAUUUUGAGAAUUCAGGGGCUGGAUUCCUACCAGCCAGUGGGGAAGUCACCGGGGAACAGAAAAGAGGAGAUGAAAGGAUUCCACAUACAUGGUGGAUCUAGUAUCAAGAAAACAUUAAUAAUGUAAGACAACCGGUUUCUUUUUGAACUCUUUUGAACUCAUCUCCUCUGAAACAAGUCCCCUGAUCCUGUCCCCUACGCACUCUGUCUGUUUUAAGGCCAAGACAAAGAUCCCUGAUUGAAAUUUCCAUUUGGAAUCCCCCCAUAAUAGAUUUCUAUUAUAAGC
This 330-nucleotide long non-coding RNA is filed under the name Fukomys damarensis (Damara mole-rat). RNAcentral's name for it is "lncRNA (ENSFDAG00000031639.1)". Lineage: Eukaryota; Metazoa; Chordata; Mammalia; Rodentia; Bathyergidae. The record is from RNAcentral.